UACGUAGGGUGCAAGCGUUGUCCGGAAUUAUUGGGCGUAAAGAGCUCGUAGGCGGCUUGUCACGUCGGGUGUGAAAGCCCGGGGCUUAACCCCGGGUCUGCAUUCGAUACGGGCUGGCUAGAGUGUGGUAGGGGAGAUCGGAAUUCCUGGUGUAGCGGUGAAAUGCGCAGAUAUCAGGAGGAACACCGGUGGCGAAGGCGGAUCUCUGGGCCAUUACUGACGCUGAGGAGCGAAAGCGUGGGGAGCGAACAGG
This 253-nucleotide ribosomal RNA is filed under the name uncultured bacterium. RNAcentral describes it as "partial 16S ribosomal RNA". It matches the Rfam family "Bacterial small subunit ribosomal RNA", at positions 524 to 776 of the family's 1533-position model. The record is from RNAcentral.